UAAAUUUUUCCGUUAUACAUUUAAGUGUAUAUAAAUCUGUACAUAUAUCGAGUUUACUCGAUGGUUCGAAUAAAUCCAGAAAGGGGCAAAUCGUAAGACAAACUGCAAGAGAAAAGCCAGCUUUUGCUGGAAUAGAACUACGGAAUUAUGGAUGGAUCGAACUAUGAAAAGGGUUUAAUGGAAAUUGAGAGUAGAAAUCGGUUUACGAACCCUACGACAUUUAUCUUUCCAAUCUCGUGUUACCAGUUAACGUGAUUUAUUUACCAUCUGAUCAAUAUUUGAAGAAGUAGAUUUAAACAGAAAAAAAAUUAUGUAGAAAUACGAAUAAUAUGAAAUGAUUGUUCUAUCAUUAAUAUCGAAAACAUUUUUUCUAAUUUUUUUUUAGAUAUUCUUCGAUUAAAAAUUUCGAUUAAAAUUUGUCAACCCUUUAAUAUACAUUUUCUAAUACGACAUAAUAUGAAAAAUAUUAUUUUCAUGGUAAUGGUUAAUCAGAUUUUAUAAAUGAGAAAAAUAUUAAUAAUAUUUUUCAUUCUGAUUAUCGUUUAUUAUUAAAAUAGAAAACAUAAAUCUUUGUUAUGUUACAUCAUUAAACAAUUCUAAUUUUAAUUCUUAAUCAUCAUUUUAUACACCCUAUAUGUUCGAACUUCUUCAAAAAUUAAAUAACAAAGGGGAACAAAAAUUCGAUGUACCGCGCGUGAUUAUGUAACUCAACUGAUACAAUCGAGUAUCACCAAAAGUAUCGAUUUAUAAAUCGUUCCUGUGCAAAUCCUCCUCCUCCUCCUCCUCCUCCCUCCCCCUCCAAGUGGUGAAAAAUCAUGACGAGUAUGUGACACGAGAAACUACUUAAAUCUUGAAACCCUUCCUUUUUCGGUUUCAAUCGUACGAAAAGCUGUUACAAAACUAACCACUAUACUCGCGAGAGUGCUUGCAAAAUUCUUCCACAUGAAUUCCAAGAACGAAAAUAUAAAAGGAAAAAAAUGAAAAAAAAAAAAAAGAAAGAAAGAAAGUUAAAA
Molecule: long non-coding RNA, 1013 nt
Organism: Polistes canadensis
Lineage: Eukaryota; Metazoa; Arthropoda; Insecta; Hymenoptera; Vespidae
Exons: 2
Source: RefSeq, a predicted model, not a curated record